GCACUACUGAGGAGUCCCAUAAUAGGACGAAACGGCAGUUUAGUGU
RNAcentral lists this non-coding RNA (46 nucleotides) under Schistosoma margrebowiei. The record is from RNAcentral. Lineage: Eukaryota; Metazoa; Platyhelminthes; Trematoda; Strigeidida; Schistosomatidae.